RNAcentral lists this ribosomal RNA (1439 nucleotides) under uncultured organism. RNAcentral's name for it is "16S ribosomal RNA". It matches the Rfam family "Bacterial small subunit ribosomal RNA". The record is from RNAcentral.
CAGGCUUAACACAUGCAAGUCGAGGGGCAGCAUGGUCUUAGCUUGCUAAGGCCGAUGGCGACCGGCGCACGGGUGAGUAACACGUAUCCAACCUGCCGUCUACUCUUGGACGGCCUUCUGAAAGGAAGAUUAAUACAAGAUGGCAUCAUGAGUCCGCAUGUUCACAUGAUUAAAGGUAUUCCGGUAGACGAUGGGGAUGCGUUCCAUUAGAUAGUAGGCGGGGUAACGGCCCACCUAGUCUUCGAUGGAUAGGGGUUCUGAGAGGAAGGUCCCCCACAUUGGAACUGAGACACGGUCCAAACUCCUACGGGAGGCAGCAGUGAGGAAUAUUGGUCAAUGGGCGAGAGCCUGAACCAGCCAAGUAGCGUGAAGGAUGACUGCCCUAUGGGUUGUAAACUUCUUUUAUAAAGGAAUAAAGUCGGGUAUGCAUACCCGUUUGCAUGUACUUUAUGAAUAAGGAUCGGCUAACUCCGUGCCAGCAGCCGCGGUAAUACGGAGGAUCCGAGCGUUAUCCGGAUUUAUUGGGUUUAAAGGGAGCGUAGAUGGAUGUUUAAGUCAGUUGUGAAAGUUUGCGGCUCAACCGUAAAAUUGCAGUUGAUACUGGAUAUCUUGAGUGCAGUUGAGGCAGGCGGAAUUCGUGGUGUAGCGGUGAAAUGCUUAGAUAUCACGAAGAACUCCGAUUGCGAAGGCAGCCUGCUAAGCUGCAACUGACAUUGAGGCUCGAAAGUGUGGGUAUCAAACAGGAUUAGAUACCCUGGUAGUCCACACGGUAAACGAUGAAUACUCGCUGUUUGCGAUAUACAGCAAGCGGCCAAGCGAAAGCGUUAAGUAUUCCACCUGGGGAGUACGCCGGCAACGGUGAAACUCAAAGGAAUUGACGGGGGCCCGCACAAGCGGAGGAACAUGUGGUUUAAUUCGAUGAUACGCGAGGAACCUUACCCGGGCUUAAAUUGCAGAUGAAUUACGGUGAAAGCCGUAAGCCGCAAGGCAUCUGUGAAGGUGCUGCAUGGUUGUCGUCAGCUCGUGCCGUGAGGUGUCGGCUUAAGUGCCAUAACGAGCGCAACCCUUGUUGUCAGUUACUAACAGGUUCCGCUGAGGACUCUGACAAGACUGCCAUCGUAAGAUGUGAGGAAGGUGGGGAUGACGUCAAAUCAGCACGGCCCUUACGUCCGGGGCUACACACGUGUUACAAUGGGGGGUACAGAGGGCCGCUACCACGCGAGUGGAUGCCAAUCCCAAAAACCUCUCUCAGUUCGGACUGGAGUCUGCAACCCGACUCCACGAAGCUGGAUUCGCUAGUAAUCGCGCAUCAGCCACGGCGCGGUGAAUACGUUCCCGGGCCUUGUACACACCGCCCGUCAAGCCAUGGGAGCCGGGGGUACCUGAAGUGCGUAACCACGAGGAGCGCCCUAGGGUAAAACUGGUGACUGGGGCUAAGU